Molecule: long non-coding RNA, 39480 nt
Filed under: Vitis vinifera (wine grape)
Lineage: Eukaryota; Viridiplantae; Streptophyta; Magnoliopsida; Vitales; Vitaceae
Description: long non-coding RNA (VVIN_LNC006093)
Rfam family: Small nucleolar RNA Z161/Z228 (bases 43-140)
Source: RNAcentral
CUCUGUUUUAACCUGAUGUUUCUUUUUCUCUUGGAGAUAGCGAAACCAGGUGAUGAGUUUGGAUUAAAUUUUCUCACGACGGUCGUCUGAGACACAAUGUGUCGCCUUUGAUGCAUCGAUCCAAUACUUCUCUGAUGGUUUCUUGUUUACUUGUUUGUUCAUUUACCCUUUUUGUUGUCAUUGAACACAUGAUGUUGGAGCGAGCAUGGUGAUGAUGAACUUAAGAUCUUCCGAUUGAUUCGUCAUGACAGGAAAAUAAUACCUCCUACUCAUUCUGAAUGCUCCUCCUCCAUGUCUCCUGUGUUCAAUCUUGAUUGGAUUUUGGCUUUCUUGAAUCUUGAUUAGGUAGGGUUUUGUUGAUACAAAUAUGCUUUUUCUUGUUAUUUUAAUCAGUUUUGAGAGAUUAGGUUUUAUAUUUGGAACGGGCACUAUGAGGAUAAGUAUCCUUAAUCCAGAAUUACAGGUUGAAAUCCUGUAUGAUUUUUUAUUUCUUUUAAAACUAGUCCUUUUCAUUCUGAGUGCCACAGUUACGAACUCUUAGCCUUUUUUUUUUUUUUUGAAAAUACUGUUUUGAUUCGUUUUGAGGGUUAGUCGAUCUUCUCUGGUUUCUUUUAAUGUUUCAGGAUAUUUGUUUUUUUAACAAUUUUUCCAAUCUUCAUUUUAACGAUUAUGUAUUCUCUGAUUCCUGAAAUUGUGCAAAGACACCUGUGACAAUUGAUUUUUGUUGUUUCGGGUUGAAUUAGAAUCCGCAAAUUUUUAUGAAACAAAUCAUCUUCGUUUCUGAAGAAUUGAUCUUCUAAAUCUAAGAUGGAAAAAAAUAUAUAUAAAAGAGAAAUUAUCAAGAGAUGGAGCUUGAUUUAAGGUGUCCAAUUCUAAGAAAUCACUUGUUACUACAUAUACACCCUGGGGCAAUCAAUUUUCUUGAGAAUUCUCAAUGACCUAAUAUUUAAUAUAUACCACAUAGUCUCAGUCGAGCGCCCAAGCCUGCAACAUUCGAUUAAAUGGCAGUUAGCAAUGAAGGCAAUAUCACAAUUGACAAUUCUCUAAAUAUUUUUUUAGGGAUGUCUUUGUGUACAAACCUGGAUCUUGCCAUCAAGGAAACCAGCAAAAAGCAUUUCUCCAUCUGUAUCUGAUGCCAAGGAUGCAAUCUUCGCAUGUCCAUGACCACCGAUUUUAAUGGAAGCUACUCUUGUCACUGUUUCCUUAAACCACACCUCAAUGAUCCCAGAUUUACUGGCAGUGAAUAUAAAGUCACUAUUCACAGCUAAGCGCUGGAUGUCCAAUCCAGUCAAGAAAGACCCAGUUAAGGCCUUGGUCGAGAGGGAGAACACCUUCAAAAUCCAAAUUUGUUUCAUUAGAACAUGAAAUUGAUCAUCUUAGUCACUGAAUUUGUCCAAAUGUCAACAUUUCCAGAGAAGCAUAGUACCUUCCCUGCAGUUCCAUCCACUGAGGAACCGCCAGCAUAGAGUAAACCAUCAUGAAUCCGCAAGGAAUAUAUUGUUUGUUUACCAAGCAAUUUUCUUGCACCAGAGUAAAAUGUAUUUGUAGUGGAUUUACACAAAUCAACCUCCUGCCAUUUUCCCCAAAUUUUCAAUAUUAUGGUAUAUGUGUUAGACUAGAUUCCGUCUGAGUUAUAUUUGUUUGAUGAAAACGAGAGCCAAAGUCAAAUCAACCAGAUGUGUUUACCUGGAUGCUGUAACCAGUGCAACCGCAAUACAGUCUAUCCUCUGCCAUGUCAAGGCUCUUGACAUUUUUGUUAAAGUUUAUAUGUUUUGGAACCCCAGACCAACUGUAGACCUGCAAUAAAAGGAUCUUGUUAGGUACCAUCUAUGUUUUUUUUAUCAAUUGCCCAGAUGGGAGAUAAGUUACAUUGACUCCAGUUCCUUGAGAAGAGAAGCAUGCAAAACUGGCAUUAGCUGUCAACUGGUAUACCGCCUCCUUCACAUCAUGAACCUGAACACAGUGAAUUUCUUCUGGUUUGACCGUCCAGACCUGUGCAUCAACAACUAAGCAACUGCUUAUGAUGCUUCAAAAAAUGGUUCAAAAUACUUGAAAUUAUGGAUACAAGGCAGCUUGGAGAGUCCACAAUGAUGUAGUUUAGUAGUAAGUGAAAAGGCAGCAAAAAGAAUGAUUCAUCCUAGCUGUUGGGUUAAUCGCUACAUUAUUCAAUGAGGAUCACUCUAAGCUAGCGUCACCUUGUUAUCGAAUCGACUAAUGGGAAGCCAGUAAUACUUUAUAUGAAAGUCAACACAUACCCAGCUUAAAGGUUACUUAGAGUGCAUUUGGUUUUUAAAAAAAAAAACAAAUUAUGUUUGGCAAAAUUUAAAAAACACUUUUAAGAAGUUGAAAUAUUAAUUAUAAUACUUCAUUGAAAAGCAUUUGAUUGGUGAUUUUCUUAAAACAUGUUCAGAGAAAACAUUUUUAGUAAAAGCACUUAAAAUGAAAACCCCACCAAACAUAUUCUUAAUAUUUGAUCAUAUGCAAAAGGAUUUAAGGGUAUCUCUCCAAACAUUGGCAAGUCAAUCUUGUGUGACUUUCCCAAUUGAGAUUGGCAAGCUAUAUUGCAAUUUUGAGAAAACUUACCCGAAUUGUUUUGUCUAAGGAACCACUAUAUAACUUGUCACUUGAAGAUGAGGCAUAGAGGCAUGUGACAGCCUUUGUGUGUUCACGAACUUCUUGAAUCAACCUUAAGUCUCUCUUCCCAGCAUCCCAUACCUAAUGUGCAAGAUGAAAGGAACUCUUGUGGGAUCAUGUUGUUUGUCCAUGUGUGUGCACGAUGAGUGGAGAGAUAGAGGGAGAUGCAUGCAAGCGUGGUUUUUGAAGUUCAAACCUUUAUAGUUCCAUCAGAAUGGCCGCUCAGAACCCAACUUUUUAGAGGAAGCAAAGACAGAAUCCCACCGUUUGAGCAUGAAUCUAGCUCAACCACUUCAUCACAACACCACAACUCUGUCUGAAACACAGGAAAUAUUAGGAGAAAAUAAUCAUCCAUGUAUAACACAACUUGAAAUUAAGGGAUGCAUGGUCCAUUACUCACUGGAUCAACAGAAGGCAGCUUUAUCAAGGCUUUUAGCAUGUCACUUACAACCACUGAAUUCUUUUUAAGCUUUCUCAAGGUUUUAUACAUGCACUUGGCAUAUGCUCCCAGUUCUUCUAAUGCACCUUAAAAUUUGAAAUUUCGAGUUAACAAUUGUAUAGAUAGAUACAUUCAAAAGGUUUUUGUAUGAUUAUUAAGUUCUCCGUUAGCAAAAUUACCUGGAUCAUUAAGGAAGCAAUUCAAAGCAAGGGUUGCCAAAAUCUUCUCCUCAAGAUUCUUUGAUGAUUGGAGGACAUUGAUGAAUGGCUCGAGGAAUGACUUGUGAGCAACAUUUCUUACACCAGUGUCAGGAAGAUGAUAAAGCAUGUAUGUAAGCCAUGUGGCAACAACAAGGCAUGACUUUGCUAUCUCUAAAGAAUUACUCUUCAGGCAUUCCUCCAAGGCUUUAAAGAUGGAUCCUUUUUCAUGGUUGCAAAGAACAAAAACUACUCUUUUUUGCCAAGAAGUGACAGCUUUCUCUUCCUCUUCCUGUAUAUAAAUAUUUAGAAUUCAAGAUCGAUGCAGAGAGAAGGAAAAACAUAAAGAGCAACAAGCUCCAAAACAACCCAAACUACAUCAAUGCUAACCGUUGUCUCUGUCAGUUCAUUUUCAUAUAUUUUCAGCCUCUCCGACUUCAUUAAAGCAUGGUAAGGUUGAUCAUAUCCUGCGAUCUUGAGUAACCAGGCUUCAGUGUAGGACUUCCCUGAGGUAGUCAGAUGUCCAGAAAGAGAUAAUAAAGCAUCUAGAGCCAUGAUUUGAGAAUGAGGAAAGUCUUUUUUGUGAAGUGCUUCAACUAGUGCCUCUAUAGCUUCUUCCCUGUAAAUGCUCAUCUUUCGAGGCUCAACCUGGAGAAGUAAAAUUAUAGGAAUCUGUGACUACAUCAUCUAGCCAUUAUGUUGAACUAAUUUGUUUCCAAUUUUCAAGUAUUGUCGUUGUUUAAAAAGAAAGGAGAGAAAGAAAGAAAGAAAGAAAGAAAUCUAGGCAAACCAGAAGAUCAAGCUGAAGAAGAAGAGAAGCAAUUGCAGGUUGCUGCUCCAUGGGGGCCAUUUGUAGAUACACAAGAAAUGUGUGCAUGGUACUAAAAGCUCCUUCAUCUUUAAUUAUCUUCAAGAUCUGGUUGCAGAAUAUCCUCCUGAGACACCAUAAGAAGAGUAAACUCUUGGAUAGAAUGGAAUACCAUUACACAUUUAUGGACUUAAGAGAGAUUUUCACAAAAGGUCCUAGUGUGCAAAAAUGAUCUGAUACAGAUAGUGUGAUAAGUAAUCUCUAAGAGUCCUCAGAAGAAAUUCAAGAUCCACCCAAAACAGGAGAAAAGACACAUGGUCAAAGUACAUUGUAUAUCAAUAAUUUGGUUUCAAAUGAGAGUACAUUUAUAAAUGUAAUUAGAACGAUGUGGUUGGAAUAUAGCUAUUAAUAGUUAAUAUCAAAAACCUACCUUUAGAAAAUAAAUUAUGAAACUAGUGCAGCCUGAAACUCAAUUCAAAUUCAAUUGUUGAGACAUGAGUCAACUUGUAAGCUAGGGUAAGUGAAAUCAAGAUGUUAAGAGUUAGCUUAGAAGCUAGAGCACCUUAAAUCAAAACUUGAGCCAAGUUGAUAGACCAGUCUUUUGCAAUCAUUACACCCCUCAAAAAAGCAAAGGAAUAAUAUGAAGUAAUCAAGGGACUUCCAAGCUACUUAGGAUACUUUCCAUAGAGAAAAUAAAGAUAUAGUUCUCAAAGUAAAAGAUAUGUAUACCUGUUUAACUGAACUAGCUCAGAGAGAAACUUUGUGCAUAUGCCUCUAACAUAAUCAUCUCCAGUAUGAAAUAAUUCAAGCACGGAAGACAGAUCGAUUCUAUUUGCUAUCAAAUUCCUGCAACUUCUAUCUGCAUGGAUACAACAUAAAAGGAUGGAUACGAUGGCCUGCCUUCCUUCUACCUUAUCCAAACACUUGAUUAAUGCAGGAAUCCCGUUUGCAGAGAUAACACUCAUAGCAUUGAGGGAUCUGCUGUUUUCAUCCCCUCCCAUCAAAAUCUGCUCAAGCAAUGCUAUAGCAGCAUCCUUGGGCUCCAUUACUAACAGAAGAUUAUCCGAUUCGUCAUUUUUGUUCAGAAUUAGGUGUACUAGAGAGGGUAUAAAGUUGCGAGCUGAAAGCUGAGUGAAUGCUGGCCUCAGCUGGUAUAUAAGAACAGCAGCCUCUGCAAGACCUUUCUUUAGUAGAGCAGCCAGACAAUCAAAAUCAGAAUCUACAUUGGUAAGAGUCUCUCCCACACUUUCAUCAGCAAAUAUUAGCACAGAAAGAAUGUGAAUUGAUGUUCUGAGAACUUCUCUGUUCAUGGAAGCUGAUAGUAUUUCCACAAGCCCAUUCACAAUUGUUGGUUCGGACAAAUAAGAAUGAAUUCCCGGAUCAGCCUUUGAGUCUUUCCACAUCUUGGCUAUUGCCAGCACAGCUGCUUCACACUCUUGUAAAUCAUCUGAAUUACAGAGACACAAAACAUAGGGUUUUAACCCAUUGAUAACCGCUUCAGUAGCAGCUUGAGAUAUCACACUGGUUGGUGAAGUAGAUACCACUGUUUGCAUAAAUCUUUUGCACUUCUGAUUAGUACAAUCAUCUGACUUCUUAUGGUCGGGGGGAUUACAUGAUGGAGAAGAUGCCAACAUAAUUUCUUUUGUGGACGGGGGGCUGAAUGAGUUUCUUGGUGUUUCAGGGUAAGAGAACUCCUGAGCAACAUCAGGAUAUUGUUCUUUCCAAGUAGUGAUUAAUCUCUUCAAAACAUAGUUUGUUUUGGGCAGUGAGCUGGCAGAUAGAGGUUGCCGUGUAAUGGGACAUGUUGUGUUUCCUCUUUUCAGCCAUUCUUGAAUUGCUUUUCUUUCAUAUGUUUGACCUGUUUCAAGGGUAACUGCAUCACUAAAAAUCUGCCCUGUGAUGGGGCAGACAAAAUCUUUAGGCGGCCUUGACCUAGGAGUCAGUUUAUCAGAUAAUGGGAGAGAAAUGCAGCUCUGGCUUCCUUCAUCAUUUUCAUUAAGGGAGCUGCAGAAAGCCAAAGAAAUUUUAACUUAAUAUGAGAGAGCAAUGGUUUUCUUGUAAUAGACCAUUGUUGGAGAAAUUUUGGAUGAUGGUACAACGGGAAGAGAAGACAAACUGUAUAAAUUCCUGAAAAAUGGAAAAGAAAAAAAAAUUUGGUUACCUAUUUUCUGAUACUUGUCUAUUCAGAUUUUGAUGACUGAUACUUUGAUUGUGUCCAUGGUUUUUCCUGCAGCUUCUUGGUAGCUCCUGAAUCACAAAUCUACUUUCAGUUAAACUAAUGUCUAACAUUAUGAGUUCAAAUAAUACAAAUGGAUGAUGAAAAUUUAAAUAGAGAGAGAGAGAGAGAGAGAGAGAGAGAGACAUACAAUCACUUCACCAUCUGAGUCUGCUGAGCUAAUGCUGGAAUCUUUAUACAAACGUGGAGACACAGGCAAGGAGGUGGAGACAGUGGAAUCCAUGGCACGGCUGGAUAAGAGGCGCAAUACGGAUGUGGGACCUUUAUGACAAUGCGAGUCUGAUUUUGGAGAUGAAAUCUUUAGAGAAGUUUUAGGGGAGUCCGUGGAAGAAAAACUUGUCGAAGAAGGUAGUUGACUCCUAAUUUUUGGUGGCUGUACUUUUGGCCCCAUUUCCUUAUAAAUGUUCAUUUUCAUGCUACUAUGAGAUACUACUUGAUAUGUUUUGUCCUCAGAAUCCAUAUAAGCACUAUCAGGCUCAUAAUCUGAAUUAUCUUCAUUUUCCUCAAUCGUUUCCUCCUAAUAAUAAGAACCAUUAAGAAAGCUUUUGUUAUUCCAAAAAACAAUGUUCUGAGAGGAACAUGAAACAACAAAUAAUUAUGCAUUUAUUGGUCAAGCUUGUAAAUAGCCAUGUGAAUGCAAUGAUUCAGUUAUCAGCCUUACUUGAAGGUCCCACAUAACAGACUCCUCCAGGUUCUGUGAGGAUUUGGAAGUGACAUUCAAUCUGCUUGAAGCCAAAUGUCCAGAAGAAUACAUAUAUGAGAGCCUUUAUUAAAUGAGAACUUGAUUUUACUUUUAUAAAAUCAGCACCAAAAUAACGAACCGCUCAACUAAAAGUUUCCAUGAUGAAAAGAAAACUUCAAAUCAAUUACAAGUGGAAACUAACCUGCAAGCUUCUCUUGCAUUGUCCUUAGCUUUAAGAAUUAGAGAAAACCCAGCACUCUUAGGUAGAAUGGGCCCAAAUUUUACAUAAUCGGGAAUUGACCUGCUGACCUCAUGCAUUGGAGUCAUUGGUGGCUCUGCAAUUGGCAACAUCGGAAUCGCUCUCUUGCUAGUGUUUGAAUCAAAGUUCAAGCAAUCCAUAUAAUAUUUUGAAUAAAGCCGUGUAUUCUCAUCCAAUGAUUCUCCAUAAAGUUGCUCCAGCUUUUGCAUUUUCUCUGCUUGAUCAGGCCUCAUGGAAAAGAUCAGGGACUCAUUAAAGAAUUGAUCGAAAUCUGCAGUAAAGGACAAAUCAGUGGAAUCAGGAAUCACUUCCAUCACAAUCCUGUGCCUUGCUUCUGAAUACCACCCAACAAUUGAACUCAUAUGUGGAAGAAACAGAGCUUUCCAGAGCUCUGGAGCAAAAUCAAUCCGUGAGAAGAAAGGAUCAACAAUAAACAUCUCGAGAAUGUGAAGAACUGAAUUGUGAACAUUGUCCCGCAGUCUCCACAGGUAAGAAAGGUUGAGAUGGGCCCAAGCAGAGAGGUAGAAAUUGGGGACUCCUGCAGUUCUCUGGUCAGAGUUCAACAUUGCACAUACUUGUAACAUUUUUUCUGCAUGGUCUAAUCGUGCAAGCUUAGUUUCCAUGUUGGAGGUAUUGAUAGCUUCUUCAAGGGCAUCAAUCCCCCAAUCCAAAUUUGCCAAUACUGCUUGAUCAGAGUAUCGAACUUCUGUGUCUUUCUCACAGCUUCCAUCUUCAGCUGCUAAUCUCUCUGCACACUGUUCUUUGUGUUGGGCUCUCUGUUCUUUAUUGAUCAACUGAUCUUGGAUGAAACUUCCAACCGUGGUGACCAGGAAUCUAACGAUAUCCUUUUGGUCCAUUGCAAACCUGUAGUUUCCAGCCAUCUUUGGGAAGACAAAGCCAAAAUAACAAAUUCUUAGUUAAUUUUCAAACUUCUGAUUUCUAACGCUAGUCAUCUAAUAUUCCCCACUUUCAAUUACAGGAAGUGGAAUAUUGGCUUACCAAGUAUGGUUUCUGGGGCAUAACUUUCGUCCAUAAUAUAUGAAUUUAUAGCUAAUUACUGGAUAAUUGAAUAUGCAUUUCUCAAACACAAACCAAAUUUAAUCCCAACUCAGUAUACUGAGUGGUGGACAGUCAAAUUAUUGAUUUGAUUCCAACUCAUAGUAGCCGACCACAACACAAAUAGUAACCAAAUUUCUCGAAGACGACUGUAAAUACAAUCCUCGCUUUCAGCAGACUGACAAAAGAAGUAUAGAAAAACGAUAUCCCAAAACUAAGCCAAAUACUCUCCCAAUUUUGAAAACCUCUACAUUCAGAAAUUUAAAAUUCUUUUAUUUUCCCACAUUUUCUCAGCAACCAAAUGGAGCAUGAGAGAAGAGGAUAAAAAUAAAACCCUAGCCUCUGCGUAGAAUAAACAACUCUGUGAGAAAACAUCAAGAAAGAAAACUGCAUAAUCACAUCAAUUCAAAAAGGGAAACAAAACAUUAAAUCAAUUCAAAUAAAAAUUUUAAAAUUCUUUUCAAGUAAAUAUCAAGAUUUUCUCAAACACCAAAGCCCUUGAAACCACAUCAAAACACAGAGACAUAGCAAAUCUAUAUGGUCAAAAAGCACAGAAACUGAGUGCAAGUCGCUGAGCAUUUUUAUCUUAAAAAAAAUAAACAGAUCCUUCAUCUUCCCUUGCAACACAGACGAGCAAAAGAUCAUAAAGACAGAAACAGACUGAAUCGCACAGUGACUGAAAGAGCGGAGAACGAUGCUUACUGUAAUCUCGUAAUGGGAGAUGGAUGAUCAAUCAGCCACCUACUCAUCAGUCUCUCCAGAAUACUCCAUUGAGAUUCAAAAUGGAGAGUGAACUCUCUUUUUGAAUUGAAUUGUAGAGAGAGAGGACGGCUUUUGGUUUUGGAUUGAAGGAGCAUGGCCGGCUUUGGAUGUUGCCAUGUCCAAGCAAACCGUGGACUGAAAAUAAAUUUUUUAAUACUCCCUCCCUCAUUUGAAUAAUCCAUUAAUAACGGAGGGAGGAGCAUUGCGCUUUUUUGGCCAAGUCUUCUCAAUUGUUUCAACUCCAAACAAAUCACAUCGGUUAAAAUUCAAAAAUGACCAAUUUUCCACCUUCCUUCGCCUUGCCUUCACUUUCAUUUGGCGGGAAGCAUACCCGUCAUUACUACAUCCCAUUGUUGGGCACCCCCUUCCUUAGUGUUUCUAUAUAUAUAUAUAUAUAUAUAUAUAUAUAUAUAUAUAUAUAUAUAUUAUGUAAUAAAUAAAUUCACGUACCUUUACCGGUAAAAUUGUUUUUUUUUUUUUUUUUUUAACAAAUUAAGGUGAUGUUUGUAGUAUUUUAUUUCUAUUAAGUAUUAAAAAGUAAAAAAAAAUUAAUAUAUUAUUUUUUCUAUUAAAAAACAACAACAUAUUUUAGUUUUUUAUACUUAAUAAAAAAUUUAUAAUAAAUUAUAAAAAAAAAUAGAAAAACAAACAACUUUAAUCCUGAAAACAAAUUACUUUCAGUAAAAAACCAAAAAAACAAAUACCACCUAAAUGUUUGAUAAACAAAUUAAUACUUUAAAAAAUAAUUUAAUAACUUACAUAAAUUAAUAUAUUUCAUAAAAUAACUUAAUAAUAUGACUUAAAAUAAAAAAUAAUUUUAAAUAAUAAAUAAAAUCAAUUAAAUUAUUUUUAACCUCAUAUUUUUAUUUUAUCUUUUUACUUUUAUUUAUCUUAAUUGCCUUUACGAUCUCCUUUGUUACUUUACUUAUAAUAAUAAUUAAGUAAUAAAUUUUAAAUUAAUAAUUUAAUUAUAAUUUAACUUAAAAUCAAUUUAAUUUCUUAAAUAAUAAAUAUUAAGUUUUACUUAAACCUCACGUUUUUUUUACCUCUUAAUUAUUUUAAUCAAAAUAUCUACGUUCCAUUUUGAGUAAAUAUAAAAGCAGCCGUCUAGUCAAAUCUAUGUAGCAGAUCUCACCACGCCAAGAUUAUAUAUAUAUAUAUAUAUCCACAGAGUCAUUCCUACUACCUCGAAAUUGUCCUUUUCUCUUUGUUCUUAAUGCUUAUUUAGGACAAAAUGUCGUUCUCAACUAAGAAUAUAUACGUAUUUUCUAGUAGCUAUGACAAAAUAACUUCAAGCUGCAUUUGAAUUUGUCAAAGUACCAUAGGAUUUCACCAAGAAUCAAGCUUCCAGCCUUCCACCCUCUAGUCUCUACACGCCACAGCAAUAGCACCUUUUCUUCAUCGUUGUCCACUACUAGUCUAGUUGUAAAAAUGAGGAAUCAUCGUAGUGGGCCUCGUAUUCAGGCUUAAGUUUUUAGCUGGGCCCAUAUUAUGCAAAGCCCAGUAUUGGGCCGUUUAAGUUUGGGCAGUGCAAAGGCCGUCCAUAUAGAGAGGAGAGGGAUAGCCGACGCAGGAGUUGCGGUGUGGGCCAUGAUAAUGGCCGAGUUAAAGGCGCCAUUAGCGUAAUGGCAGACCGCUGGAUAUCACUCAAUAUCGAAUUUGACGUCCAACAGUGAUAUAAAUUCGAAAGAAGCAGGAAGUUGCUUAAGAAUUUUAUGCAGGGCAAGUGUAUGUCUCAUGGAUGCGAUUUCUGUUUAGUUAUCGCAAAACAGUGUUCGAGAAUAAUCUUCUCGUAUUUCAUAACAGUAAAUAUAUUUUUUAAAUUAGGAGAAAAUUACUAUUAAUUGUUUUUAAGAAACAUGUCUUAUAUUUCUAUAAAUGCAUUUUUUUUAAUUUAAUAAAAUAUGAUAUUUUCAUUCUGACUUUAAAAUUUUAAUAUAAUUUAAUUUGACUUAAAGUUAAAUAAAAUUAAAUGUCAUUAAGUAAGUGUUUGAUAAAUCAAUUUAAUAAUUUAAAAUAAUAAAUAUUAAUUUUAUCAAAUAUCUCUUAAAUUUCUAAAUUAAUUUAUUUUUAUUGGUGUCUAAAUGUUAUUAAAUGUUAAGUUAUUUAUUUUUAUUCAUAUUUAAACGUGGAUUGUUGUUUUUACCUAUGUUAUAAUUAUUAUAUUGAUUUUUGAUUUUAAAAUUAUUAAUCCUAAAAUAAUAAUAAUUUAACAUAUUUUCAAAUAUCCUAAAAUAUCAAAAUUUAUUUUUAUGAUAAAAAAAAUGAUAAUCAUUAAUUUGUUAAGAUAUUAUAGGUUACCAAAUGAUAGUAAAAUCAGUUACUCUACUGAUUGAUUUUUAGAUUAAAUUCUUAAACUUGAUCUAAUAAGUGACAUCAUAAUAAGUCGGUAUUUCCUUGAAUUUGAGAUAGGUGGUAAUUUGUUUUACUUUUGUUGGAUUUAUUUUUUUUUAUUAAUUUCUUAUCCAAAUUAAAUUAUUUUAGGGGGUGUUUGGUAUGAUAACGGGUAAUGAGAAUAGACGUCUCAUUCCUUCCCACCUUCAUUCUCAUGUUUAACAAAUUUUAUGAAAGUAUAAAUAGUAUAAAAAAAAUUAUGGAAAAAGUGGAUUUUGAUUCACUAAUAUGAAAAUAUAGUUUAAAAAAAACUUCAACUUUUUUAAAUUAUUAUUGUCUUCAUUUAUUUAAAAUACAUGCAUUUUUUAAUAAGUCAUAUAAUUAUUCCCCAAAAUAUUAUUUUACUUAUCAUGUUAUCAAUAAAAAUUGACAACUAAACUCCUUCAAGUAAAUAUUUUUAUUCAUUUUAGAUAUGUUUAUUAUUAUUAUUAUUAUUAUUAUUAGUAAUCGUCUUAACUCCAUUUUUAAUCCAUAUGGAAUUAUGGAUGACCUGAUAUCUUGGUUUUUUAUUUUUAGUAACCAUGAGAAAAUGUGAACAUAGAAAAAGUGCAAACGCAAGACAGGAAUUGGAAACAAUUUGCACAAACUACUAAAGUGACAACAAAUUAUUAGAGUUAUAAACAAAAGGGGAAUGUUACAUAACAUGCUAAGACAAUUUUUUUUUUCUUUCUUUUCAAACAUUCUUGGCUACCAAUAAUCACAUCAAGAAUUUUACAUGAAAUUUUUUUAAAAACAACAAUAUAUUACCUUUUAUUCGUAUAUAAAUCUUUUGAAUUGAAGGUAAAGUUUAAAAACAAAUAAAAUGUUCAAAUAACUAGAAUCCUUGAAAUUAACCUCAACUUGCUAUAGUGGAAAAAAUUCUAAAGAGAUCAAUGAGAAAAACCAUAGACAUUAUUCUCAAUAAAACUUAAAUUCAUCUACAGUUUACCAAGAUUCACUACUUCUAAUGUCAACACUCUUCAAACUACCUCACUUUUGCUAUGUGAUGUUUGUUUAUGAAAAAAAAAGUUUCAAAUAAUAAUAAUAAAACAUAUCUAAAAUGAAGAAAAAUAUUUAAGUAUCUAAAAUUUGUCAAUUGGUGUCGAUGACAUUAUAAUUUAUAAGUAAAAUGGGCAUUUUAGGAAAUAAUUAUUUGACUUAUUAAAUAAUGUAUUUCAAAUUAUUUUUAAAUAGAUGAAAAUAACAAUAAUUUAAAAAACUUGGGGUUAUUUUUUUUCAUAUAUUUUCAUAUUAGUGAAUCAAAAUUCAUUUUUCCCACAAAUUAUGCCGAUAUAAAUCAAAUCACACUUAUGAGUAGCACUUCAAUUUUUCGCAAGUUGGUGAUAUUUUGUUUCAUAAGAAAAUAUAAAAUAAUAUAAAAUGACUAUUUUACCCUUCGAUUUUAUUCAUUGGAUGUCUCAUCAUCUCAUAACAAGUCCAUUUUUUUAAUCUUAUUAUUUAGUAACAAAAAACCUUUCAAAGUUUAUUUUUUAAAAUGAAAAAAAAAAACUAUGUGUAAGAGUAUUAUUGUCAAUUUAUUUAUUUUCCAUUAUCAUUCUUAUUAUUACCAAAUAUUAAAAUAAAAACAAAUAAUCAUUCUUAUCUUGAAUUCUUUAAUUAAAAUACUAAAAAUAAAAAAAACAUACUUUAAUCAUAUUCAAUUAUAAAAAUGAUAAAUUAAAAACCAAAAGUUCUAAAAGUAUCUUAAACCAUAACUCAUAAAAUAAGUGGCUAAAAAUAUUUAUAAAUUUAAAAAAAAUAUAAAAAAAAAAAUGUAAAGACUACAAAUAUAAAAAUAAAUGUAAAGACUACAAAUAUAAAAAUAAAGGGAUAAUUUAAAAUAAAAUAAAACAUUUUAGAAAAUAAAUUUAGAUACGUGGACCGUCAGAUACAGCUAACUCGAAUCAAUCAGGUCAACAGUAGCAUCCAAUGAAAUCAUUAGCACAACUGUAACAUCUAAAAUCAUAAAUAAAUUAGAGCACAUAACAUGGAUCCGUCGAAUGGUUUUAAAAAUGAAAAAUAAAGGGAAACGAUCACCUCACAUGAAAAUCUUUCUUAUCUAAUAAUCUAAUAUUCAUUAUUAAAAUAUUUAAUUUUCUUAUUUCUUGAUAUUUAAACAUUACAUAAACUCAAUUAAAUAUCAAUGACAAUCAACUAAAAAAACAAAAUUAAUAAGAAGAUAAAAAUAAAUCAAAAUACUAAAAUAGUAUAAGAUAUUAGUUUCACUUUAUAUUUCAACGUUUCAUUAUUAAUAUAUAAAAAUAAGCUAGGAGUGGAAAAAUAGAUAUAAAAAUAAAAAUAAAAAUAAAUAAAAAUAGUAAAAAAUAUUAUAUAUUAAUAUCAUAAAUAAUAGUAUCUGAGUUAUAAGUCAAAUUGAUUUAUGGUCGAGAAUUGAAUGGUAUAAAGUCUAAUAAAGGAUAACACAACUUUGAAAAUAGUAUAAGAUAUUAGUUUCGUUUUUUAUUUCAUCGUUACAUUAAUAAUAUAUGAAAAUAUAUUAAGUCAAGUGAAAUAAAAAGAUGUAAAAGUAAAAAUAAAAAUAAAUAAAAAUAGUAAAAAAUAUUAUACAAUAAUAUCAUAAAUAAUAAUAUAUGAGUUAUAAUUCAAAUUAAUUCAUGAUCGAGAAUUGAAUGAUAUAAAGUCUAAUUAAGUACAACACAAUUUUGAAAAACAUUUUAUAACAAUAGUUUUCAUUUAUUGCAUUUACAUUGAAAAAAUAAUGAAAAUAAUUAAAUUAUAUUUAUUAAUUAUUUUUUUCGUACCAAAAAAUUUAUAUUUAUUUAACUAUAAAAAAAUAGUUUUCAUUAUUAUUAUUUUUUUCUUCCCAUAAUACCUUUUAACAGCCGAACAUAAGUGGUGGGCUAGAUAAUUAGAGAAGAACAUCAUAAAGGGUGAAACCAUUAAUUUAAUUCAAAUGAAAUGUGAGGCCCUGAGGGCCUAAGGCCCAGAUGAUUCUAUUAAUUUGGUCGUUUUAUUUUAAUAAUAAUAUAAGUUGUAUAACAAGAUUUCAAAUUGUAUAAGAAAUACGAUACGAGACUUUAGAGGAUAGAACCCCGUUGAUAUAUAUUGUUGUCGCUUUCCUCCACGUGGAUUGUGGAACUCGAAUUAUGUCGCUUUUGUUAACCAUGGUUAACACCUGGAGUACGUCUAACCACACCUUGAAGUAGAUCGUGACGCGUGUCAGAUAUCAACGGCCAAGAUCCAAAGCAAGAAGAUAUUCGAGAAGCAAUGACUCUAUUUAUCACCGCGUCCCACGCCUAACCCUAACGUCAGUCCUGAGUCGUCCUUAUCCUUGACGUGAAUUCACUGAGUCUGCGAUGGCAAACCCUAAGGUCUUCUUUGACAUGUCCGUCGGCGGUGUGCCUGCCGGUCGGAUCGUGAUGGAGCUUUUCGCCGACACCACUCCCCGCACUGCUGAAAACUUCCGAGCACUCUGCACCGGCGAGAAGGGAACCGGCCGCAGCGGAAAGCCUCUGCACUACAAGGGAUCUAAGUUCCACCGGGUCAUCCCCGGGUUCAUGUGCCAGGGAGGCGAUUUCACCGCCGGAAACGGUACUGGUGGCGAAUCGAUCUAUGGAUCUAAGUUCGCCGACGAGAACUUCAUCCACAAGCACACUGGCCCGGGAAUACUAUCCAUGGCAAACGCUGGUCCCGGAACCAAUGGAUCACAGUUUUUCAUCUGUACAGCCAAGACCUCGUGGCUUGAUGGUAAGCACGUGGUGUUUGGGAAGGUGAUUGAAGGGCUGGAUGUGGUGAAAGCCAUUGAGAAGGUCGGAUCUUCGUCUGGAUCCACCGCCAAGGCUGUUGUGGUCAGUGACUGCGGGCAGCUUAGUUGAAUGACUCCUGUGAUCUAUGAGCCUCGAUCUUUACUUUGUCAUGUUAGGGUUUGGUGCUUUUUAUCUUUUUUUUUUUCAUCUUUUCUUGAAGGGUAUGCAGUGAUUUCGGAUCGCUUGUUCCGUGAAGAGAGGGAAGGAGAGGCUUUAUUUGAAUAAGCUAGGUUUUGUUACCUACCUACCGUCUUGUUAUGCUAUGAUAUGAACCUUCUAUCACUCUAAAAAGUGUUUUUAUCCUCUGUUUGGCUGUCGGUGAAAACGAAGGAAAUCACAUUCCUUUUUAAGACGAGCUCCAUUUUCACUCACUAGCAUGUCUUUCCUCUCAAACUUUUGCCUGGAUCCAAAUCAUAUGCCACCAAUCUCAAACGUUGACAUUAGAAGACAGUAUACAAUUUAGCAAUAUACAUGUAUCACUAGACACAUGACAAUAUGGAGAUCCAUAAAGUAAAAUUAGCGGAAUCUGAUUUAUAUAUGGGAAAGAUGUUCAACUCGUUGGAUGAAGACAAAACAACGAAAAUUUUCGGUACUUCCUAAAAAGGGAUAAUCGCCGAUACAUUGGACUUGGAGGGUUUUUUAUAUUUUUAUAACAAAAACAGGAAAAUGAAAUUAGUGAAUUAGCCUAUUGGUUGAUAAAAUACGUUCUGGAAACGAUAUUAUGUUAUUUUAUCGAGGACGGAAAAAUGAUCGGAAAAACUACCUGGGCGGUUUCAAACUGCAAUUUUUCAUCAUCUAAAAAAAAAUAAAAGAGCAGAUAUUUCAUGGAUAAGAAUGAAAAUGUUUUCCGAGUUUGUUUGGUAGAAUAAAUAAAUUGGUGUUAAUAAAAAAUCGAUAAUGAGAAGUUUUCUUCAUCUAUUUUACAAAAAAUAAAACAUUAAAAUAAUCAGUCUAUAAAGUUGAAAAAAAUUCAUUUUCUUUAUCCUAUUUAUCAAAUGUUUUGGCAAUUCCUGUUGGGAAGAUGAAUAAAAAAAAAAAAAUUGGGACAAUUGUGUUUUGGAUCAAGACCCAAAAAUUAAGUUUUGAUCUAUAUAAGUUCAUCAUUUAAGCCUAAGACUCAAAUGGAGUAUGAAAAUUAAGAAAAAUGAUAUGAAUUUUUUAUAUUUUCGAAAAUAACCUUUUCUUAUAAUAAAAAAAAAUUAAUUUAAAUUUUAUUCAUUUUGUAAAUCUCAAUAAAAUUCAAUAUAAUUUGGUAAUUUGGAAAAACAUGCUCACUUUUCCAAAAAAAUAAAAAUAAAUUAUUAUUUAAAAAUCAAACUUAUUAGAAUGUAUAUAUUUUAAAAAUUGUGUAUAUAAAAAAUAAAUUAAAAUAUGCCUUUUUUUUAAUGAUAUAUUUUUAGAAUAUAUUUUAAAAAAAUCAAUUUUUUAAAAAUAAUAAAUUUUUUGAAUAAUUAUUAAAAAAUAUUUAAGAUCAAACAGUUUAUCAAAUAUUAUGGUAAGAAAAUAGUUUUAAAUGAUAUCUUGAUCUCUUUAUAUUUUAUAUCCUUCUUGUCAAUUAUAUAAUUUAUAUGAAUCAAAAUUUAAUUUUUAGAUCCAACUAGGUUCAAAACACAAUAAUCCUAAAAAAAAUUCGAAUAAAAAAUUUGAAUAAGAGCUUUGAAUUUUUGUUCAUCCCCUAUUAAUAUCUCGAGUUUAUAGUGAUAACUUGGUAUGUUCACUGUGAACUAAAAUAUGUCUAUGAUCAACUAAUUGACGGGCUCAAUGAAUAGUCAAAGCCAUACAUGUUUCAAGGAAUUGGACUAGAACUUAACAUGUUGCCCUUUUGGCUUUUCAGGCAAUACAAACAUGGUUAAUUAAUUGACGUUCCGUAAGAUUGGUGUUUUGUAAGACCAUAGUGAAAACACCAUUUUUGUUUUUCUUCGCCAUUUUUUUCUUCCACAUAAAAAUUUACUUUUCCAAAUAAUAUCCAUAGUCAAUGUUUAUUAAUUUAAAAAGCCAAUCUUAAACUAAAAAAUAAAGUCAAUUAUCUUUUGAAAUUCAUAAAUCAAAACUAAUCUAGAAUCAAUGCUUAAAUUUUGGAGUUUAUUAAGGAGUUUAUAAAUUUUAAAAAUAAUUUAAAAUUUAAAAAAGAUCAAAUAGAAGAUUUAUGACUUUAGUUUAUUUAUCCUAGUAGUUUUUUAUUAUUAGGAUUUGUCCACAUAUUUUAAAGAACUAUAAAGAUAAUUGAAUAAUCUAUUUGAUCUUUAAAUAUAAUUUAAGGUUGACAUUAUUUUAAAAAGAUAUAAAAUAAAAUAAAAUAAAGAAAAGUGUGAAAGGUAUAGAAAUAAUUUUUAUAAUUUAUUCUUUUAUUUUUAGAUUAUUUAAUUAAAAAGGUUAUUGAAAAUCUAAAUUUAAAAAUAGAUAAUUUUUUUUAAAUAAAAAUAAUAUUUUAUUUUAAUAAAAAAUGUUUAUGUUAAUAAUGAAAUAGACUACAUUUAUAAAUUUAAAAAUUAUUUCAUCCUUUUAAUCAAUUAAUUUUUAUUUUUUAAAAAUUUUCGGCCAUCAAAUCAUAUAUUCAUAUCAUAAGAAGGAAUUUUAUUUGCCUCGUUUAGGGGUAACCAAAGUAUCUUGGAAAGUUUUGUCUCGUCAAAUAAUAACCAGAGGGACGUUGAUGGAUGCAAAACCGCCCUUGAAAAUUGACAGAAACAAUGGCGGUCCAAAGUUAUCUAAAUGUGCCGACCACUUUUUGUUUUUAUUUUUUUGUGCCUUUUGCAAUCACCAGAGAAUAGUCUGCCUGCUCUUUCAUUUUCCUCGACAGCUUCGACCCAUUGUUCAAAACUAUCUCAAAUUCCUUUUUUUAGCCGAUUUGUGAUUUUCCCAAGUAUAAGAUCGUGAAAUUUCUUAUAAAUAUAUAGAUAUAUUUAAUAAUUAUAUAAUUUAUUUAUUUUUAUAUGAAAUAUUUUAUAUAGGAAGGGAUGUUGAGUGAAAGAGAACAUCUUUUUUUUAGCAUAAUCACAGCGGGAGAUUUGAAAGCAACGUAAUGUUUUAAACAAUAAUCAAGAUUUGUCUUAUUUUCUUAAUACAUGUUUUAUUAAUUAAUAUAUGCUUUAUGCUAUUUCUAUUAUUUUUCUUCUCGUGGAAGGCCUACAGGAAAUGGAAUGCUUUAUAGCAUGUUGCUUGUCAUGAAAACAACUAUUUUUUUAAAUAUUUUUAAAUGUAUUUUGAAAAUAAAUUUUUUAUAUUUAAUUAUUUUCCAUAUUUAUAUAAUUAUUUAUUAAAAUCAUUCUAAAAAAUAAAAAUAAUUAAAAAAUAUUAUCGAUAAAUCUCAUUUUUUUAAUAGAAAAUGGUUUUAUAUUAUUAAAAAAACGAAAGAUGUUUGAAAAUAAAAAAUAAAAAAUAGUUUUAUAUUAUUCAAAAUAAAAAAUAUGAUAUUUUUAGAUGAUAUAAAAAUUAAUCAUUAAAAAAUGAUUAAAAAUAAAGAAUAAAAAUUAUUUUUAAAAUAUAUUUAAAAUUAUAAAAAGUAAAAGAAGAAUAUUUUAAAUUAUGAUACAAUUUUUUUUUUAAAACGGUUUUUUAAAGUAUUUUCUAAAUAAAGUUUAAUUGUUUUAUUUUCAAUCAUUAUUGUAAAAUUAAUAUUUAAAACAACAUUAGAAAUAAUUAAAAUAUAUUUUAAAAAUUCCUAUUUUUUUUUUUAUGAAAAUAAUUAACAACCAAACUCAGCCGGAUCCUCCGCGAAGGAGCACAAACUGGAAAAAUAGAAGUAAAAGACAAAAUGAGGGCCGUAAGAUUAAGGGAGGGCAACGUGAAUUGCGGCUAGGAUGAAGUCAGGCAUCGCAUUGGGAGUCAACGAAACACAUCUGCUAAGCUGCACCGAAUAUGUGGUGCCACUGUACUACUGAAGACUGUGUGAAUGCCCCCAAAGAUCAAUAGAUGCUCCAUGCUUGGCCGGCUUCAUUGGCGCCCAUUUCGUAGUCGAACGUUGAAAUAUCUUUAAGUAUCGACCACCUCCACCCAAUCCCCAUCUUACACGUUCCUACCUUCACGACCCUACAUCAACUACUUUCUGAUAAACUCGUAGACUUUUUUUUUUUUUUCUUUAAAUAAAUAAAUAAAUAAAUUCUAUUUGGUUUUGCCUAUGACCUUUUCAAUUCAAAAUUACGUAACAAAGCAGUUCUCAUCUACACGAGCCCUGACAAGUCUGCAGUCUGACCUUACGUAAAUGCUCCUUCCUAGAAAUUACUAUAAUGCCCCUUAUCCUUCCUCGCACCCUACCUGCUUUCCCAUCUCAGCUUUUGAACAAUUCCAUUCUUUGAUCUAAAUUUAAGGAUGACUUAAUUUAUCUUGUAGGUGGCUCACCGGUGGAGGAUGAGGACUCAUUAAAGAAAAGUAAACCGGUUGACCAUUCAAAACGUAUUACUCGGGGAACAUUCGACUAAGCAAAAGUUGGGCAAUUUUCCUAAACAAGAACAUGAAUUUUAAAAGCUGCCGUCACCUAAUUUGAUAAAUAAGUUCCAUUCAACCUUUAAGUCAAGUAAUAAGAGCUUUUUUUAAUUUUUUUUAUACAUUCUACUCGACUGAGCAAAAGUUGGGCAAUUUUCCUAAACAAGAAAAUGAAUUUUAAAAGCUGCCGCCACCUAAUUUGAUAAAUAAGUUCCAUUCAACCUUUAAGUCAAGUAAUAAGAGCUUUUUUUAAAUUAUUUUUAUAUGGCUUAUUUUUUAAAUCAACUAUGAUUGGAAAGAGCUUUUUAAUAUAAAAUCAACUAUUAUUAGAAACAUAUUUAAGCACUUAAAAAUUAAAAAUUAAGUCAACUUGACCAUAAAGAUAAAAAUUGAUUUUCUAGAUGUUGCAUCUUAGAUGAUUCAAAUAAAGGAUGAACUUAUAAAAAAUUUAUAAAAUAUGUUGGUAGAAUUUUAAGAAAAUAUAUAAAAAUUUUAAAAAUUAGAACCUCUCAAUUAAAUUAUUGAUUUUAUUGAAAUAUAUUUUAUUAUAUUUAAAUGAAAAUUAAAUUGUUUAAAUAUUAAAAAUAAUAUUUUAUAUAAAAUAUUUCAUUUGAAAAUUUGUUUUAAAGUGAUAAUGUUUUUGUUAAUAGUUUUGCUGUUAGUUUAUUAUUAUUAUUUUAUUUUUAGUUGUUUAUCAAUAACAAUUAAAAAGAUAAUUUAAUAAGUAGGAUACAAAAUAUAAAAAUGAAUUAUUGAUUUUUUUUUAAAAAAUUUAAAAAUAAAAUAAAAUUGAUGAGUAUGAUUUUUUUUUCAAUAAAUAAUAAAUAAUAAAAAUUUAAAAGUAAAUCAUUUAAAGUUUAAAAGUAAAUUAUAUUUAUAUUAAAAACAAACAUAAGCAAAAAUCAUUAAUUUUCGCAACAAUGGGCAGAUCGACUCACCCAGGGUCUCGUUUCCACCUCCGUCGACAUCUGAAAAUUCGCCCGAAAUUUCAAUUGAGAAUUGUGGAAACUUCCGUCCUGGAUUGAAUGUGCAAAGAAAUGUAAGCAUGUAAUUGAUGGGCACUCCGUAUUAGUGUAAUAUAGAAAAUUGACUUUCGGGGAGUAGAGGCCCGCCUUAAAGGAUUAAAUAAUGUUAAUCUUUACUAAUUGAAAAUGAUUUUUCUGGAAACCGGAGAAGGGCAAUAAUGUAAAACGGUCAUUCUAAGUCUGACAAAUUAACGUCACACACCAAACUUCAGACGGCGGGCGGGACACCCGCUCUCUUUCUCUCUCUUACAAAGUCUAAACUCACACACAAGAGACAGAAUACAUCAAAAACGGUCAUCGUCUCUGCUCCCUGUUUGGCUCCUUCCAUUAAACUCAGUCAAAUCCUUCUGCUUGCACACGGGAUUUUCGUGUUUCAAAUAACGCGUUUUUUCCCCCUGCUUUUCUUCUCUAGACUAGAUUUUUCUAUUUGGAUCAACACAUUCUCCAAUCGAUCUCAUUCUUGACUCAUCCUCAUUCUCGUCGUCUCUCACAUUCUAUUUCACUGUAAUUAAUCCGAUUCUUUUCUUCCUCUUUCUAGGGUUUCAUCUGAAUUCGAUUUGGUGUCUGGUAUGCUCUGAGCUCUGUCUUCGUAAUUAGGGGAUCAUCUAAUCACAAAUGGUUUGUAUUAUCUAAGGGUUUGGAUGCUGGGAAAAUGGAGGAAAACAAAAAGAAACUUCCAGUCUCAUGGUCCUUGUUCUUAUGGUUUGCCAACCGAGAACUCGGCUAAGCCAAAUAGUUGUAUUGUGCUGAGUUGAGUGGAGUUACUUUUUUAUCGUCUUCUUGUUGUUUUGGUUUUAUAGAACCGAAAAUAUGAAGAAUAUAUAUAUAUAUAUAUAUAAAUCUUGAAUUCUUGUGCUACAGUUUCUUGGUAACCAAAUGAAUCCUAAGUUGACAAUGUUUUUCUUGAUUUUCCUGUUAGGUGCGAAUUCGGAAAUUUUUUGGAAUAUCAUUGGAAGAAAAAUGGGAGCGGUAUGCUCAGGCGGGAUGAUGAAGCGAAAUUCGGGAAAAAAUUUAGGGUUUUCUGGGAAGCUGAAGAAAGUGAAGAGUUUGCGUAAGCAAAAAGAGGAUUCUUAUUCAUAUUCUAAUCCUAAUGUGGAUGGUUUUGAGAGGACGCCACAGAUGUACGAUCCUGGAGAGCUAUCGUUUUCGAUUUCACGAGAACUAAAACCUUCAACGCCUGCAAGAACAGGGGCAAGCAAGGUAUGAUCUACUCAACAUGUGUUAGUUUUUUGUUGUAAUUCUUAGUGAUUAAUAGAAUUAACUGUCGCAACUGAUCUUCAGAAACGAAGGAAAUAGGAUAGAAGUCGAAUCCAUCCGCAUAAUAUUAAACUGCAUAUAAAGUUUGUGUUGUAACAAUUAUUAGUUUAAUUUCCCUUUUGCAAUUUUAGCACACAAGAAAGAGAAGAGAAGGUCAGGGUUCACAUGUGUGUGUUGAUGUUCGUAAGCAGUGCAUGACUAACAUAUGAAUCGAGGAAUAAAAUGAAGAACCCUGCUGUUAAGGAGAGAAGGAAAAAAUCAUGGUUUAUGUCCCAAUGAAUAAUGGUAGAAAGAUGCUAGGAGAGUCAAAUACAUGUCUGAAGACAGUUUUUGGGCAUUUGGCAACUUGGUAGAUGAACCCCAAAGUAGUACGAUGUGCUUUAUAGCAUGGAUAGAACUGAUACUUAUUACAGUGGAAUGAAUGGACAAAAUGGCAUACAAGCAGUUCUUUUUAAAUCAGGGGUGAUACUGUACCCCCUAUUAUAAUUUGAUCAAUGGAUUAAUUUUCUGAGCGAUGCUUGUUGCAUCAGUGCAUGAUGCAUUUUGAUGAUAAUUCAAGUUUCCCCUCUCAUUGACAUCAUUUUAUCUCCACAACCAUGGUGAUGUCUCUCUUUCCCGCCAAAUCUUGCCAGAGUCGGUGGAGGAUUCUACAUAGCAGGGCUGACGGUCAUUACUUUCUUUCUUUCUUUUAUUUAUUUAUUUUUUAUUUUUAGAUAGGCAAAUAUAGAUAUAUGAAUCAGAACCAAGUAAAAAAAUCAGGGCUGACAAUGAUUCCUUUGGUGGUUGAAACGUUGGACCAUAAGCUGGUGUGUAUUGCUGAUUCUCUUUCCUAGAAUUUGAAAGGAGAGGUGGCUUUUCCUGCACAUACAAGAGAGAAGAAUUCUAUUCAGACAGGGGGCAAAAAUCAUGAUCUAUUUAUCUCACAUGAUUUGCGAUGGAUGAGCUUACAUUAUUAGGGACACUGGAUCACUAUUACUGAAUUCAAAUUCAUCUAAAGCUUGCACAUGCAUAUUGUGAGAUGUAUCUAUAGACUCAGUAAUCUGAGACAACCAUGCAAUAGUAAACCCACUUGUUAAGCAGCAUGAACUGCAUAUCAUUCAUUAAGGAGAAACUAUGACAAAAUUCAGUUGUGAUUUUUUCUUCACAGAAAAAUGUGUUUUGUUGUGGGCAGCUCAAGGUUUUAAUAAAAUGUUUAUACCUAUAAAUAUAUAUCCAGGUUAAAUGCUAUCAUGUUCCUUAGCUUAGUGUGGGGAUUCAGUUCUUUUGGCUAUCCAUUGAGACUAUCUAUUUGUCUAGGAGGUAAAUAAGUAGUUGAAUAAGUGAAGUUUAUAUAUAUAUAUAUAUAUAUAUAUAUAUAUAUAUAUAUAUAUAUAUAUAUAACCCUUCGUAGGCUAUGAUAUUUUGGCUUAACCACUUUCCUCUUUUCCUAUGAAUUCAAUUAUAUCAUUUGUUUCUUUGUUUUUUAGGUGCCCCAGAAGACCUCAUUUCUGGGAAGGGCUGGUGUUGUGGGCCUAGAGAAGGCAGUGGAAGUCUUGGAUACACUGGGAAGUAGCAUGUCAAGUUUGAAUCCCCACAGUGGGUUUGUAUCUGGCAUUGCUUCCAGAGGAAAUAAAAUAUCUAUAUUGGCAUUUGAAGUAGCUAAUACAAUAGCCAAAGGUGCAAACCUACAGCAUUCUCUUUCUGAAGAGAAUAUCCAGUUUCUGAAAAAGGAGAUUUUACAUUCAGAAGGAGUGCAACAAUUAGUUUCCACAGAUAUGACAGAGUUGCUAAGUAUUGCUGCUGCUGACAAAAGGUUGUUGCUUGUUAGAGAGAAUAGUUUGCUUUGCUUUGUCUUUUGUGCCUAGUGCAAUAUGAAUUAAUUGUAGCAUUUUUCAUCUUUUAAUAUCUCACUUGUUUCUUUUAUUAUUAUUUGGUUUAUUUGUAGAGAGGAAUUUGAUGUUUUCUCACGGGAAGUAAUUAGAUUUGGAGAUUUAUGUAAGGAUCCACAAUGGCACAACCUGGAUCGAUAUUUUUCAAAGUGAGUAGAUACUUAUAGUGCAUUCAAGUUAAGUUACUGAUGUGCUGACAAUGCAAACAGAUUUAUUGAAUGAUUAUAAAAUUUCAGGUUAGAUACAGAUGAUCCCAGCCAUAAACAACUUAGAGAAGAGAUAGAAGUGACAGUUCAAGAGUUAACUACUUUGGCUCAGCAUACUUCUGUAAGUUUAGUUUUGUAUUGGUAAUAUUUUUUUGCAUUUCUUGUUAUGUGUGCUACAUAUGGUAUUAUUAAUAUUUUGGGAAAUGAUACUUCAUUUGUUUGGAAGGAAAUCAUAUUAAAUUUUGGUUUAAAAAAGCACAGUUGAUUUCUUUCUGAAAUGAUAUUCGUUCUAUAUCAUGUCUAUUUUAUGUGCCUGAUUCAUUUGAAUGAACUUGUGUGAUUGAAAAAAUACUUUGAUCAUUAGAUUCAAAGUUUGAUUAUGUUAUUGUGGUCACUGAAUAGUUUAAAGAUUUAGAUUCUAUGAUCAUCGAUCAACUUAUGGGAUUAUUCCAAGCCCAUGUGGUAUUUAGUUAUCUCCACCUCUAAUUUUGAGCACUUGACUAUAUCCUAAAUUUUGAUCCCUUUUUUUCUUUGUAAAAUUCUUUGUCCCUCUUUGCCUUCAUUUGGUUUUACCAUCUUACCCUUCUUGUAGAUAAGAUAUGGGCACUUCUGAGCCUGGCUGGAUAUUGAUCUCAGGUCCAGAUGCUUUCUUUCACUUUUUGCUAUAUCACUUCUGCCUCUUUAGUUUGGGUUAUUAGGCUAUUGUUGACAUGAAAGGCAUAUCCACCAUAUGUCUAGCACUGGUUUCAACACUUAUAAGCCUCUAUAUCUCCUGACAAUCUGACUCAGAUUUUGUGAAUCUUAUCUGUGUGAUAUGAGAAUUAAAAAUAAGCUUAUUAUUAUCUUUCUAGAUUUAUAAAUAAUGGUCAAUAAAUAUUUUUUGCAUUAUGGCAAUGUGUUUUGAGUUGAAUAAUAGAGGCCUUGCUAUGCUUCUGUUGCAUAGUCUUUUCCAUGUAAAUACAGUUGUUAUGGUUAUUUAAUGUAAGUCUUCCCUGUUAAUAUGUUUAUGGUAUCGAACAUGCAGGUACAUGAAUGGAUUUUGUAGACACAUUCACAAACUCAAGCAAACAUAGCACUGUUUCAUAUCGGUCUUUGUUUUAGGCAAUUGAUUUGUCCUGCACUCCAUCUCUGUGUGUGCAUGUCUCUAAGGCUUUAUUUGAUUGUGUAUUCACCUUCUUUCUUCCAUAGGGGAAAGCUGACCCGUGUUUAUUUUGCUUUUGAAAUGACUUUAAUUCCACAUGUGCUAACCAAAUGUAUAUAAAAGUGUAAUUUGGUGGGAUAAUCUUUUAGUUUUUUGCUUCCCUGGAUGAUUUUUUAUUUUUUAUUUUUGGGUUUCUUGAUUUAAUAGAAUCAUGGAAUGAUGAUUUGAAUUAGAUGCAUUCCCAAAAUUUUUGCUCUUCUGCAGAGAACCUGUUAUUCUGUUUUUUUAUAAGUAUACUUGACUAAUGCUGCAAGGUUCAUUUUGCCUUCAUCUCUUAUGCCUUAGUAAGGGUUAGUUAUGUUCUACUUUGAGAUGCUAAUUCCUUCUGCAUUUAUAGGAAUUAUAUCAUGAGCUGAAUGCUGUAGACCGAUUUGAACAAGAUUAUCGACGGAAGCUUGAGGAAGUGGAGUCCUUGCAUCUUCCUCGUAGAGGUUAGACAUGGAUGAUCUUUUUCUCCUAUUUUAGUUUUAUUAGAUGUGUAAGUAGGAUUUUCUUUAUUUCCUUUUCUUUGUUCCUUUUGGGAAGGGUAUUGGGUUAAGUUUGUCUCAACUUUUAUUUUUACUUCUUAACUUUUCACCUCUAAAUGCAUAUGCUGUUUAGUAUGUUAUCUAGAUAUUGAGUCUCUUCUCUUAGCUAUUUAAAGGGGAUCUUGUAUAUGACUAGGUUUACGUAUCCCCUGAAAAUAAGAAGGAAGAAAAAUAAUUGCUAUAUAAUUUAUUAUUGCUUGUUGAUUUAAAGGUUGGCUAAUUAUUUGUAGAAGUUGUUAUGGCGUGCAAUCUGAUUUAUGAAUAGAGGGUUAGGACUGAAAGAUUUAGUUUUAGAUUGCAAAAAGGAUACCUGGCUAAGCAUAACAAUUGCUAGAGAAAAUUAAGAUAAUAUGAAUAUGUUGGAAUAAUGAUAUACAUUGUGGGCCCAAAUUCUAACAACUUAAGUUUUUAGGAAAAUUGGUUGUCCAACAUUGGUAUCAAAGCCAUGUUUGCUUCUUCUUUCUUUCUUUUUUUUUUUCUUCAGGUUUAGAGGGCGUUUGUUUUUUUUUGCUUUUUGUUGAAAGCAAUUUGCUUUUAGACUUUGAGUUGUUUGUUUUUUUUACUUUUUCAUGACUUAUUAUAAACUUUUUGCUGAAUAGAAAAAACCAAAACAUUUGACUUUUUUUAAAUGGAAAAAGUAACAUAUUGGUUUUUUUUUACUUUUUAAUGUUUAAUAGAAAUAAAAUAUUUAAAAAAAAAACAACCUAAUACUUAACACUAUUAAAUAUUAAAGUUCUAUUUAGAAUUAAGUAAAAAAAACAAAUACCACCUUAGUCUUUUUGACCUUAGUUGCCAAAAUCUUGCUUAUUCCUUGGUUGGCCUUCACUGUUGAAGCCCUUGAAAAUCUAGUUUUUCCCUUCCUUUAUUUUUCAUCUUGAAAAUCCAGUUUUUUCAUUCUUUAAUUUUUUUUCCCUUAUUUAGCCUUCAACCUUUUUUUUUUCUCUCCCCAACCUUGUUUGAGGCAUCGUUUGAAAAAUGUUUGAAGUCUCUCAAACUGAUCCCUCAGAAAAAAGACCCAUAUCAGUGAAUGGUGCUGAAAAUUCGAUUACAAUGUCUUGGUUGCAGAAUUCUAUGUAGCCAUGGAGUGGUAAAACUCAUCAUUUUUUCUCACCAACAAUAAAGAUAUGGGAUGCUAUUGCUUAGAUACAUUUCAGCAUGGUGUCACAACCUUAUUUAGCAGGAGUUCAUGAGUUUGAACUUCACAUGUUUAUUUCCCCAAUUUAUUGAGCCACAUACAAGCCCAAAGGAGGCUGUCCUUGAUUUGUUUUGCCUAUGGGUUUGAUUGUCUCUCUACAUGUGGGUAUGAGGCUGGGGAGGGUGUUGGAGAACAUGGUAUACAUUGUGGGUCCAAAUCUUAAUAACUUUAAGCUUUUAGGAAAAUUGGUUCUUUAACACAAUACCCCUUGUUAGAUGAGUAUCUUGGUAUAUUCAUUCUUAAAUUGGAGUUUUUCUUUCAAGGGGGAAUUUGUGUUGAAAUAGCUAUUACUUGGUGAGAUUGCUUGGCAAGGAAACUAGCCCAGGAAUGCUUUCUUUGCCAUAAGUUGGACUGUUGUUGGUGUGCGUUGCAUUAGAUGAUUAAAUGAAACAUAAUCCAUUCAAUAGUUUGGAGGUUAUAAUAGACAAUAUUGCUGAAUUUCAUUUGAAGAGAAAUAUUAUUGUAGGGGAUUCACAGAAGGAUAAUUGUCAGAGCAACUGCACUUUUCAUGUUUGAAGUUUUAAGAUGGCAUAAUGGGAAUGUUGGGUGCCAUGUGAAAUGCAACUUUGUACUAUAGCUUCUAAUUUUGGAGGUGUGUAUUUGUCUUGCCUGUAAAUUGAGAUGCCUCUAUAUUGAGAAGCUUGAUAUUUCAUUGCUAGUUGCCACAGUAAUGAUUAUAUGAUAUUCUACUACGAACUAUUUAUCAAUAUAAAACUGACCAUUCCUUGAGUUCUUUCUAAAGUUCUAUUUUUGGGAUGGCAAUGGGGUAGUUUAAUGGGGCAUUCGCUGUACCACAAUUGGUUCAGAUUUGGGAUUGCUACAAUUCAUUUUGGAACAUAUUUAGGUUGGGAUUUCAAAUAUAAACUGAGGUUUAGUCCUCCAUGUAUAUUCCAUGUUGAUCCAUUGUGGACCUUGUUGUCUUUCUGAAUUAACCUCCCCUGUUUUUUGCAUGUUGACCAAAUUCAAAUGAUGUGUAUUUGAUUUUCCUGCAUUCCUGAAUAGUUGCUUCUGAUCAUUGUCCAUUGCAUCAAAGGUAAAAUAAAAAAAAAUCAGAGGUGCAAGAUUACUGGAACAUCACAUUCUGGUUAAUGGGUGCACUUGUAUUCUCCCUUGCUCUCUAUGCAAACACAUGCUUCCUUCUUUCUCUUUCGAGUAUUCUUCUCUCAUAUGCAAACUUUUAGAUGUAUAUUGAAGAGUCAAUGUUUUGGUCCUCAAUGUGGAUUAAUGAGGGUAUUUACGACAAUUGCAGUUCAACUAAUUCAAACUUAUUUUCAUGUCAUGAUGAUGUAUCUUAGAUUAAACAAUUGGAAAUCAAGGACUUUGCCUGUUGAAACAAACAAUUGGAAAUCAAGAAUAAGCACAUUCAAUGCAGUUUAUUGGAACAAUGAGAUGAAUCUAUUGGUUCAUGUUAAACUUAAGUUAUCAGAAGUUCAAGAGUUUCAGAGAUCAUGGAGGAGAGAGAGAGGGCUAGAGAGAGAAAGAUCGCGAGAGAGGGAGAGAGCAGUGGCGAUGAGGGUUCGACGGAAAUCGCAGAAGGCGCGAGCCAUGCGAGGCCUGGGAAUAAUGUCAAGAGGGGUGGUUUCGGCGUGGAAUCGAAAAGAUUCGAGGUCGAGGUGGAGGAGAGGAGAGGUAGAUUGCAUGCCACGAUUGUGGAGAGGAAAGGCGGGAUCUCGUCGUGGGUCAGACUAGGUCCGGUGAGCCUCGGGAUAGUCUUUGAAUGUUUGAAUCUGAGUAUUGAGGACUGAAGAAUGGGUAGGUGGGCAAGAGAGUGGAAGGAAAACGGGAGGAUGUACUCUCUGUCGCGCGAUUACAACAGAGGGGGCUGCUUUCUUCGUUUGGGAGUUGCGGAUUUGGAGGGAAAGAGGUUUAGUGUCUAUAUUCCUAGAGGAAGAGGAGAAAGGGGCGGAUGGGCUUCAAUGGCGGACACACUGAGGAGUUUGGGCUGCGAAGAAAGUUGCCCUAAUAACCAGAAGGCAGUUGUGUCCCGGACGAAGCCGAACAUGGUGAAGUCUUAUGUGGAGGCGACCAAAGUGGCGAAGGAAAAGGAGAGAGCAGCAGCUAGGGAGAUAUUACUACGGAAGAGGUGGGAAGGAAUUUAUCCAAACUUGGCCACUGUGUUGUUGGGACUUGGAAUCACAAUGCAGCGAAGGGUGAUGAUCUCAGAGGGUGGGGAUCCCAGCUAGCGAGAAUAUGGAGGUUAAAAGGGAGUUUAGGGCUGGCUAAAAUGGAGAGGGGAAAGGUGUUAAUGGAGUUUGAGAUCCCGGCAGAGGCGGAGCAAGUCUCAAAGAUGGGAAGCAUUUUGCUUGGGAGGGUAGAUCUCCGUUUAGAGAAGUGGAAUCCGGAGACGGGAUGUUUGAAGGAAGGGGAAAGGAGCAAUGAAGCGUGGGUGCGGGUAGUUGGGCUGCCUGUCUCCAUGUGGGAACGGGAUAUUCUGAGGAAAAUUGGGGAUGCGUGUGGGGGCUUCAUUGCGAUUGAUCAUCAAACGGAAAAAAUGGAGGAUUUACAGUGGGCACGCCUCUUGGUGAAGCGGAACGGUGGGUCUCCUCCCAGCUUAGUGGAGGUUUGGAUUGAUGGGUUUUGUUACGAGGUUACCUUAUGGUGGGAAAUCAGGCCAGUCAUCAAAGUUCCGGCGACUGGAAAGAGAGGGAAGACCGUCGUGACAGAUGCGAAGGAAGGGGGUGACGCGAGUGCACGCGCGGGGGGGCGCGUGUUGGGGGCGAUGGAGGGUUCAAGGCUCGAGGACUGCCUGAUGACUGAGGAUGGGACGCAGAGUCAGGUCAGUGGGUCGGGUCAGAACUCGGAUCCAAAUCGGAACGAAGACGGGUUGGGUUUGUUAGGCCAAGCAUCAUCUUCUAGAGGGCCUAAAGCUUACACUUCCACUGGGCCAAGCUCGCUUGGGCUGGUGUUUUAUGGGAAUGGAAAUGGGAAGCCCAAGGAAAAGGCCGGGCCUUUGGGUUUACUUAAAGGGGAUGGGCUUGCUUUUCGNNNNNNNNNNNNNNNNNNNNNNNNNNNNNNNNNNNNNNNNNNNNNNNNNNNNNNNNNNNNNNNNNNNNNNNNNNNNNNNNNNNNNNNNNNNNNNNNNNNNNNNNNNNNNNNNNNNNNNNNNNNNNNNNNNNNNNNNNNNNNNNNNNNNNNNNNNNNNNNNNNNNNNNNNNNNNNNNNNNNNNNNNNNNNNNNNNNNNNNNNNNNNNNNNNNNNNNNNNNNNNNNNNNNNNNNNNNNNNNNNNNNNNNNNNNNNNNNNNNNNNNNNNNNNNNNNNNNNNNNNNNNNNNNNNNNNNNNNNNNNNNNNNNNNNNNNNNNNNNNNNNNNNNNNNNNNNNNNNNNNNNNNNNNNNNNNNNNNNNNNNNNNNNNNNNNNNNNNNNNNNNNNNNNNNNNNNNNNNNNNNNNNNNNNNNNNNNNNNNNNNNNNNNNNNNNNNNNNNNNNNNNNNNNNNNNNNNNNNNNNNNNNNNNNNNNNNNNNNNNNNNNNNNNNNNNNNNNNNNNNNNNNNNNNNNNNNNNNNNNNNNNNNNNNNNNNNNNNNNNNNNNNNNNNNNNNNNNNNNNNNNNNNNNNNNNNNNNNNNNNNNNNNNNNNNNNNNNNNNNNNNNNNNNNNNNNNNNNNNNNNNNNNNNNNNNNNNNNNNNNNNNNNNNNNNNNNNNNNNNNNNNNNNNNNNNNNNNNNNNNNNNNNNNNNNNNNNNNNNNNNNNNNNNNNNNNNNNNNNNNNNNNNNNNNNNNNNNNNNNNNNNNNNNNNNNNNNNNNNNNNNNNNNNNNNNNNNNNNNNNNNNNNNNNNNNNNNNNNNNNNNNNNNNNNNNNNNNNNNNNNNNNNNNNNNNNNNNNNNNNNNNNNNNNNNNNNNNNNNNNNNNNNNNNNNNNNNNNNNNNNNNNNNNNNNNNNNNNNNNNNNNNNNNNNNNNNNNNNNNNNNNNNNNNNNNNNNNNNNNNNNNNNNNNNNNNGGGGGGGGGGGGUGGCUUCCUGGAGUGGGGGAAGGAAUAACCAAGCUUGGGCUAGACUGGACCGGUUUUUAGUGACCCAAGAUUGGCUGGACUGCUUCAGUGGGGUCCUUCAGUGCAGGCUGCCCAGACCCGUUUCUGACCAUUUCCCCAUCUUACUGAAAGGUGGGGGGGUAAGAAAGGGCCCCUCCCCUUUUAGGUUUGAAAACAUGUGGCUCAAAGUUGAGGGGUUUAAGGACCUUCUUCGGGGGUGGUGGCAGGAGGCGGGGGGGAGGGGGAGGGCUAGCUUCAGAGUGGCUUCAAAAUUGAAGUUUCUGAAGGAUAAAAUUAAAUCUUGGAACAGGGAAGUGUUUGGGAGGGUGGAAGUCAACAAAAAUCUAGCCUUGCAACAAGUAGAAUUUUGGGAUAGGGUGGAGAGUGGCAGGAGCCUAACUGAAAGGGAGUCAGAGCUGAAAACUGAGGCUAAGGAGGCCUUCAAAAAUUGGGUUCUUUUGGAAGAAACGCAUUGGAGACAAUCUUCUAGGGAGUUGUGGCUGAGGGAAGGUGAUAAGAAUACUGGUUUCUUUCAUCGGAUGGCUAAUGCUCAUAGAAGAAAUAACUCCAUGGAUAAGAUUAAAAUCAAUGGGAGGUGGUUGGAGGAGGAGAGGGAGGUGAGAGAGGGGGUUGUGAAUGCCUUUCAGCAGUUGUUGUCAGAGGAUCAAUCAUGGAAAUCUGAUAUUGAAGGGCUGCAGCUCAAAAGCUUAAACCAUGCUGAAGCUGAAGGUUUGGAGCAGCCCUUUACUGAGGCAGAGAUUCAUUUGGCUCUAAUGGGUAUGAAUGGUGAUAAGGCUCCAGGCCCGGAUGGGUUCACAGUGGCCUUUUGGCAGUUCUGUUGGGAGUUCGUGAAGGAGGAAAUUGUGGACGUGUUCAAGGAGUUUUAUGAAGACAAGUCGUUUGCUAAGAGCCUCAACUCUACUUUUCUGGUCCUCAUUCCUAAGAAAGGGGGGGUUGAGGAUUUGGGGGAUUUCAGACCAAUCAGCUUGCUUGGGGGUGUGUAUAAGCUCUUGGCCAAAGUGCUGUCCAAUAGAAUUAAGGAGGUGCUAGACAAGGUGGUUUCGUCGGACCAAAAUGCCUUUGUGAAGGGAAGACAGAUUUUAGAUGCUUCACUCAUAGCCAAUGAGGUAAUUGACUAUUGGCUUAAACGCAAGGAGAAAGGGGUGAUAUGUAAACUGGACAUUGAAAAAGCCUAUAAUAGUAUUAAUUGGAACUUCCUCAUGAAGGUCAUGCGGAAGAUGGGCUUUGGGGACCGGUGGUUGAAAUGGAUUUGGUGGUGUAUUUCAACGGCAAGCUUUUCUAUUCUGGUNNNNNNNNNNNNNNNNNNNNNNNNNNNNNNNNNNNNNNNNNNNNNNNNNNNNNNNNNNNNNNNNNNNNNNNNNNNNNNNNNNNNNNNNNNNNNNNNNNNNAUAGAAGAAAUAACUUCCAUGGAUAAGAUUAAAUCAAUGGAAGUGGUUGAGGAGGAGAGGGAGGUGAGAGAAGGGAUUGUGAAUGCCUUUCAGCAGUUGUUGUCAGAGGAUCAAUCAUGGAAAUCUGAUAUAGAAGGGCUGCAGCUCAAAAGUUUAAACCAUGCUGAAGCUGAAGGUCUGGAGCAGCCCUUUACUGAGGCAGAGAUUCAUUUGGCUCUGAUGGGUAUGAAUGGCGAUAAGGCCCCAGGCCCGGAUGGGUUCACAGUGGCCUUUUGGCAGUUCUGUUGGGAGUUCGUGAAGGAGGAAAUUGUGGACGUGUUCAAAGAGUUCUAUGAAGACAAGUCGUUUGCUAAGAGCCUCAACUCUACUUUUCUGGUCCUCAUUCCUAAGAAAGGGGGGGCUGAGGAUUUGGGGGAUUUCAGACCAAUCAGCUUGCUUGGGGGUGUGUAUAAGCUCUUGGCCAAAGUGCUGUCCAAUAGAAUUAAGGGGGUGCUAGACAAGGUGGUUUCGCCGGACCAAAAUGCCUUUGUGAAGGGAAGACAGAUUUUAGAUGCUUCACUCAUAGCCAAUGAGGUAAUUGACUAUUGGCUUAAACGCAAGGAGAAAGGGGUGAUAUGUAAACUGGACAUUGAAAAAGCCUAUGAUAGUAUCAAUUGGAACUUCCUCAUGAAGGUCAUGCGGAAGAUGGGCUUUGGGGACCGGUGGUUGAAAUGGAUUUGGUGGUGUAUUUCAACGGCAAGCUUUUCUAUUCUGGUCAAUGGGGUGCCGGCUGGUUAUUUCUCCAACUCUAGGGGGUUACGCCAAGGUGAUCCACUCUCCCCCUACCUUUUUGUGCUGGGCAUGGAAGUUCUAAGCGCUAUGUUGAGAAGGGCUGUUGAUGGGGGCUUCACUUCAGGUUGUAGCAUCCAAGGGAGGGGGGGAAUGGAGAUAAAUGUGUCCCAUUUACUUUUUGCUGAUGAUACGAUUAUUUUUUGUGAAGCAAGGCAAGAUCACAUUACUUACCUAAGCUGGAUUUUGGUAUGGUUUGAGGCAGCCUCUGGUCUUAGAAUAAAUCUUGCUAAAAGUGAAGUAAUCCCGGUUGGAGAGGUGGAAGACAUUGAGAUGUUGGCGGUGGAGUUAGGGUGUAAAGUGGGGACCCUCCCUUCGGUUUAUUUGGGGCUGCCUUUGGGAGCCAAGCACAAGGCCACGACUAUGUGGGAUGGGGUUGAAGCAAGAAUGAGAAGAAGGCUUGCACUGUGGAAAAGACAAUAUUUGUCAAAGGGUGGGAGGAUUACCCUCAUCAAAAGCACUUUGGCCAGCAUGCCGAUUUACCAAUUGUCUCUUUUUCGCAUGCCUAAGCUGGUUGUUAAAAGGCUUGAAAAGCUUCAAAGGGACUUUCUUUGGGGAGGGGGAAGUUUGGAAAGAAAGAUUCAUCUCAUCAACUGGGCGGUGGUGUGUACCCAUAAGGAGAGUGGGGGCCUAGGUAUUCGGAAAAUUGAUUUCUUGAAUAAGGCUCUAUUGGGGAAAUGGAUUUGGCGGUUCGCCAUUGAGGAAGACUUCUUCUGGAGAAAGGUGGUUGGGGUGAAGUAUGGUCGGUUGGGUUUUGGUUGGAGAACAAAGGAGGCCCGCGGAACGUUUGGGGUGGGGGUUUGGAGGGAUAUCUUGAAGGAGUCGUCUUGGUGUUGGGAUAAUAUUGAAUUCAAAGUGGGAAAGGGGACUAAGGUGAGUUUCUGGACUGACCAUUGGUGUGGUAAUGAGGAGCUGGCCCAAACUUUUCCCCAGUUGUUUGAAUUGGCAGUCCAAAGGAACGCCUCGGUAAAUGAGAUGUGGGAUUCUAGCCUCGGCCAAGGAGGUUGGAAUAUAAGACUCUCCAGAAACCUUAAUGAUUGGGAGCUGGACGCUUUAGGAGAGCUGCUGCAGUUGUUAAGGGAUUUGAGGACUUCUCUUGAAGAGGAUGCAGUGAUUUGGAAAGGAGAGAGUCAUGGCCUCUUUCGGAUUAAAGAUGCCUACAAGCUUUUGGCAGGGUCUAAUGUCAUUAGCUUCCCGAAAAAGGGCAUUUGGGUGGAUAAGGUUCCAACCAAAGUUGCUUUUUUUGCUUGGGAGGCGUCUUGGGAGAAAGUUUUAACUUUGGACAUGCUUCAAAGAAGGGGAUGGCAGUUUCCUAACAGGUGUUUUUUAUGUGGUUGUGAAGAGGAAAAUGUAAAUCAUAUACUUUUACACUGUACAGUUGUAAGGGCUCUCUGGGAGAUUGUCUUGGCCUUGUUUGGGGCUAAUUGGGUGUUCCCAGAGAAAGUCAAAGAUAUGCUAGUCAGUUGGAGGGGCCCUUUUGUGGGGAGAAAGAGGAAAAGGAUUUGGACUUCCAUUCCGUUGUGUAUUUUUUGGACGGUUUGGAAGGAGAGAAAUAGAUUAGCGUUUAGGGGGGGCUCUCUAGCUAUUCAGAAGCUAAAGAAUUCUUUUGUUUGUAACUUGUGGAGUUGGGCUAGGGUGUAUAUGGGAGAGGAGUCCUCUUCGCUUAUAGGUUUUUUGGAAUGGCUCGCUACUCCUUAAGGGGUGGUGAGUGUUGGUUGUUGGAUUGGCUACUGUGUAUACGUCCUGUAUGCCUUGUGGCUUUUUGCCUCUUUUAAUAUAUUUGUGCGCACUUAUCAAAAAAAAAAAAAGUUAUCAGAAGUUCAUAGAAGAGUUUGAAGUGCAAAUGCUUUCACGUAAUCUGGGUUUUCAUGUUAGAUUUCUGGUUGAGUUUUGGUAGUUAUAGCUCAUGUUUAUAACUAUUUGAUUAACCAGUAGAAUGCUAAUUAAUCUUUAAUACUCUCCACUGUUGUAACUUGUAAGUUAUAGUACAGGUUAUUUGCUAUUGCACCACCAUGUCUCUUUCCUCCUGCAGGGUACCAUAACGGCUGGAGUUGAUACUUACCUAACUUUUAUGGAGAGUGGUUGUAAUUUCUAUAAUGGGAAUGUUAUGCCAUUUUUUGAUAGAAAUGAAGGUUGUACUUAAUUGAUUGAGUCCUCACUGAAAAAAAAAGGAAAAGAAAAUUGUGAUGUUUUUCAUUUCAAGGAAAAUAAUUUUUAUUAUUCUGCACCUCCUGUUUAUUGUAAGCUUUGAAGAGACCUUAUUUUCCCUUUACAAUCACGCUGUUAUUCUAGUACUGUUUAUUUUAAACUUUUAUCAAUGGUUUGGUGAUGUUCACUUCUGAUUGUUAACACUACUUGUCUGCUUUUUGCUUAGCCAGAAGGGUGGAGUAUUCAAAUUAACAGGUCAUUUUUUUUUUGUAAUUGUAGGAGAGAGCCUCACAAUGUUACACAGUGAGCUAAAACAUCAAAGAAAGCUUGUAAGGAGCUUGAAAAAGAAAUCGCUUUGGUCUAGAAACUUGGAGGAGGUAUGUGAUUAUGAAUCAUUUUUUUACAAUUUCGGAAAAGAUAAAUCAUGAUUCUGAAGUCUUUUAUAAGGAAUUCAUUCUCAAGUUGCUUCUAUCUCAUUUUCUUAAAGAUUUGUUUCAAUUUAUGAACCUUACUUGUAAUACUUGGUUAAAAUUUCAUUGUGUCUGUGAAGUGGAUACUAUACUGCCUUUGCUGAUAUGAAUAGCAAUUCUAUGAAUGUAUAGGGCAUUCAAUCUCAGAUAUUACUUAUAAGAUCUAGGUCAUAAAGGACCUCAUUGACUAUAAUUGUUAUUACCUUCUUCAGGACAGAUUAGAAUGUUUUUGUUGGUCAACAAUUAACAUCACUUUUUUCAACAACGUUUUGCUCAUUGUAGAUUGUGGAGAAGCUUGUUGAUGUUGCUACAUUCAUACAUCAAGAGAUCUUGGAGGCAUUUAGAAGUAAUGGUAUGACCUCAGCAUCUUAAAGAAAUUAAUGAUUCAUUACAUGAAUGAUAUGGAUACUAAGUUUAGUACAUGUGUGUGUGUCUUGUAUCAAUUUAUUAUUCAUUUUUUACUUUUCUCUGCUCUAAAAGAGUUAGUAAAGUAUGAUUAUAACUUAAUUUAUCACUCGGUCAAUUACAAGGUUUCUCGUCUAUGUCUUAAUGAAAGUACCAUGAAAAGGGCAUGGUUACAUAUGCUUAAUCACAAUCAUUGUUUAUGUGUUCUGGGCCCAAAUUCUAGCAGUUUAAACUUUUAGGAAAGUUGGUAGCUUAACAUGGUACUAGAGCUAGAGGGCUUGAGUUUGAGUCUCCACUCUCCUACUGCUAUUGUCUCUCUGCUACUGCUCCCAUCUAUUUAUCGACUGCUACUACUGUUGUAUCUAUUUAUCUACCAUUUGAUGGGCCCAAAACCUGGGUAUGGGGCACAUCAAACCUAGGUGUUGGUUUUGUGAAGGAGGAUGUUAACCCAACACACAUUAUGGUUCCUUAAAUAGGAGGUACUCAACCACAUGCUAUCCUCUCCACUUGUGGCUAUGGGGCAUGUGAAGGAGGCUGUUAACUUGAUACAUGUUAUGUUCCCAAAUCCUGACAAUGUGGCAUGACAAACCUAAUUUAAACAGGAGUACUCCACCACAUGUUAUCCUUACCUAGUUUUGCAACACAAAACUUGUUCCAAUCAUGCAUGAUUAUUUACAGAAGUGAUGAUUUCUAAGGCACAGUAUUCCUUUUUUUUAUUAUUUCAGAAGUAUUAGUGAAUAUUUACAAGUUUCACUAGUUAUCCAUGAAUCUCCCAAGAAUUAUAAUAUUUUGCAGAAUUGGGGCUCUAAACAAAACUUGCUAUUACUUUCUGUUGCAUAAUGUGGAGCCUCCUUUAAUACUGAAUUUUGAAGAUUUCUGUAAGGAGAGUUGCUUUGGGAGGCUCACAAUAUUGCACUCAGUACAGUUGAGAAGUUUUCUUCAAAACUGGCCAUGUGACUGGUUUAUUGUACCAUUUACCAACUAAAUACAGAUGUCAGAGGGAAAUAUGGAUCUGUUUUAAUUAUGUGAAUAUUACCUUGGUAAAUGAAUGCACUUGUUCCUAAACAAUCUUUUCUAGUAGUGCUUUGGUCAUGCUAAUGCAACAACCUUGGUAUUUAAAUGUGAAUAUGCUCUUCUGUUUCAAACUUCAUUGUUUAGAGGACACAAGAACAUGGGUAUUUCAAGUUUUGAUGACUUUUUCUGGUUUUUGGUUUUGAAAAGCAUGAUUAGAUGAUUAUUGUCUUACUUUGUUGUUCAUUUAUGGUAGGUUUGACAUUGACUAUCAAGGAACCUAGCAAUUGCCCUCAAAGACUGGGUGCAGCUGGUCUUUCAUUACACUAUGCCAACAUUAUCAAUCAGAUGGAUAACAUAGUAAGUUUAAAUCAGUCUUUGCUUCAGUAUUUAUUUCAUUUUUUGGGUGAUGGUUUUAUGAAAAAAUGGAUGUUGAUUUUUGAAUGGAAAUUCAUGUGUUGUUAGGCAUCUCGGCCUACCUCCCUUCCUCCCAAUAUGAGGGACACAUUAUAUCAUGGGUUGCCGGCCAGUGUUAAGACAGCACUGCGCUCCCAGUUGCAAGCAGUUGAUGCCAAGGAAGAGGUAUAUUAUCUAAAGUAGUUGAUUUUCUCUUCAUGCGUACUUGCAUAGACAUUUUCAAUUACCACUUAAAGUACAUUCUGCUGACAUUAUUUAUUUAUUUAUUUUUCAAAAUCAUGGAACUUGAACUUUCUUUUUGUUAUCCUUGGGGUAAUGCGUAUGCAGUAGGAUGCAACUUAAUCCUGGUGUAGCCCAACAAUAAGCCAACCUGACUACCUUGGGUUCAUCCGAUUAUGUUCUAGAACAAACUUGAUCCUGUCCUGGGUUGCAACAAAUAUAACUUGACUGUUGUUUGGUUUGGUUUGGUUCUGUUGAUCUUGUAGGCAAAAAUAACCUAACCCUAGAACCGAUCAUAGUGUUCUCUUACAAGGGCGUGAUCAUGAGAUAACUCUUUGUAUCCAUUGAAACUUUGGACCUAAAUAUGGUGUGCCAUCACUCACCUGAUCACGAGCAAUGACUUGUGCACUGUAAUAGAAGGGUGGGGAGGAGUUACUUGUAUAGAAGAGAGGAUGGAAAAUCUGUUUUUUUAGCAGGCAAGCUUGUGUAGACGGGAGAACUUUAGCUUCUAUGGAAAAGUCGGAGGCUUUCCCUGUUGGUUGCUUGUGACCAAAUUCACUUUUCUUCUUGUCUACAUAAUUAGGGAAGCCUCUUCCCUUCUCCCCUUCAUCGAUCAAACGAGAACAGCUUGUGAAAGUGAUUGGGCUGGCUCUAAUUGUGGAACUUCCAUUUUUCCUAUAUCUUUUGAACGUUAAAAUAAUUUAAUCUAAUUUGAUAUGCUCAUGGGCAUACGGAAGCCAUAACCACCUAACCAAGCUGAUCUUUGUUGGUUUGGUUCCUAGGCUUGCUCUUAGAUUGCUUUUUUGGAAACUGGCCUAUUUCAAUUCAGUUUCAGGGUUGGAAUAUUGACCAUAAAUUACUCAACCUAAGCCCUAGUUGCCACCCUCAUAUGUGCACUGUGCUGUUUGUUGUUUUAACUUCUAAAUCACUUCAUAUUGUCCUUUUAUGCAGCUUACAAUUCCUCAAAUCAAAGCUGAAAUGGAAAAAACUCUCCAAUGGCUUGUUCCAGUAGUAACAAAUACAACCAAGUAGGUUGACAUGUGUAAUGCUUUACCCUACUGCAGUAGAUUUCUGUUGUGAAGACAACAGAAGCUUUUCAUCUGUAUUUUUUUACACAAAAAAAUAUUUUCCUGCUCUGCAUUUACAUUUCCUUAUUUUUCUAUGGCAAUUGGAAACAGAGCACACCAAGGUUUUGGGUGGGUUGGAGAGUGGGCAAAUACUGGGUUAGUGAAGACUUCUCUCUCUUCUCAUGUUCUGUAUUUUCUAUCAAGUAUCUUCUAUGAAGAUGAAUGUGUCACUACAAAAGGUGUAUACUGUUCUUGUUUGACAGGAAUGAGUUUGGCAAGAAGACAACUACACAAAAUAACCUGAUCCGCCUCCAGACGUUAUAUCAUGCAGAUAAGCAGAAGAUAGACCAAUACAUCCUUGAAUUAGUAAUAUGGCUUCAUCGUCUUAUCAACCUAGUAAGACAUAGAGAUCAUGGUUUCAAGCCUCUGUCUACUCGGUCCCCCCCCACUCAUAAUGGGCUGGUUUUUCACUCCAAGAUGGAGCGGUUCCCAUCGCUUGAUUAUGUUACCAAAGUCCAUGGGGUUCAACUUUCUCAAGAGGAUAGAAAUUUGUUGGGAGAAGUUUGCUGGAGAAGGUUGGUUCCUGGAAAAAGCAAAAGUCAGGAAUUUGCCAUGACAAAGAAGAAA